GGCUCAGGAUGAACGCUGGCGGCGUGCCUAAUACAUGCAAGUCGAACGAGGGUAGUAAUACCCUAGUGGCGAACGGGUGAGUAACACGUAGGUAACCUGCCUUUUAGCUUGGGAUACCCGAAGGAAACUUUGGCUAAUACCGGAUAAUAACAACCGAGGCAUCUCGGAUGUUUGAAAGGAGCUCUAAAGCUUCACUAAAAGAUGGACCUGCGGCGCAUUAGCUAGUUGGUGAGAUAACAGCCCACCAAGGCGAGGAUGCGUAGCCGAACUGAGAGGUUGAACGGCCACAUUGGAACUGAGACACGGUCCAAACUCCUACGGGAGGCAGCAGUAAGGAAUAUUGGUCAAUGGGCGGAAGCCUGAACCAGCCCAUGCCGCGUGCAGGAUGACGGCCCUACGGGUUGUAAACUGCUUUUCCCCGGGAAGAAUAAGCCCCUCGUGAGGGGUGAUGCCGGUACCGGGGGAAUAAGGAUCGGCUAACUCCGUGCCAGCAGCGGC
RNAcentral lists this ribosomal RNA (498 nucleotides) under uncultured bacterium. RNAcentral's name for it is "bacterial SSU rRNA". It matches the Rfam family "Bacterial small subunit ribosomal RNA", at positions 21 to 518 of the family's 1533-position model. The record is from RNAcentral.